CGGGAGCAGCGAGGGCCGCAGGCAGAUUCCUCAGGACAGUUUUCUUCUGCAAGUAUUUUCAAAGGAGAUCUACCAGUGAAAUGUCCACAAUAACAGAUUGAAAAGGAUGAUAAAAUAAAAUGGCAAGGAUUAUGUGGAACCAAGCAGCAACUACUGGUUGUCUUCUUGUAGAAAACCUUUGCACUUCUCAAGAACCUCUACUCUAUUCCUCCCUUUUCUUCAUGCCCUCUAAGAAAGCAUGGCACAGCCCCUGUUCUGGGACAGAAGGACGGACAUCCGAGGGACAUGGGCAUCUCUUCUCAGCUUGGCCACGAUGCAUAUGAAGGAGCAAUGUAGCUGAGCUGUGGGUUGACCGAGGCUUGCAUCACUGCCCUGACCCAGAUUGCAUCUGCAGUCAUCUGGAACUGACUACACGCCUGAACUGAUGAAAGAGGCUGUGGAAAUGUGGAUCUCUGGGGCCUUGGCAAGAUGCUUGUGCCAUAUCCACCUGUCCUCUGGAAGACAAAACAGUGAGCAUCAGCAGUGUGUCAUUUAUUCUGCAAAAACUGAACAGAUGAGAACUGCCUUGACAGCCAAUAGAAGAAAAUAGUGUGAUAUGGCCACAGCAGGCACAUGUUCUAUCUAACAAUUGCACUAUGAUCCCAACGAGGAGUGGCACUCAACCUCCCUCUGAUUACCUGUGUUCUUUUCUUUUGCUGUAACAAUAUAAUUUCUUUCCAACACACAAGUGUUUAUGUAAAAAUGCCAAGAUUCUCUAAUGCAGAUUAAAAUAGGUUUACAAAUUAAGGAAAGUCUGGUAUGGAACAAGAGGGAAAUUAUCCCAGCAUUUGGCACUUUUUUGUAGUCAAAGUCUUGUCUUUAGAGGGUGUUAUGUUAACUACACACUUGUGUGAGUACACUCACAUAGGUGAGGCCUAGGAGGAUUUUCCUUGUGUAAUGACUGCAGGAGCUAGCCCUAGCAUAUCACAUUACUGUAAAAGUGGUGUCCAGUAAGCAAUAGGUGGGCUCUCUUGGGAAAAAUGCAGAAAUGCAGGAAGAAAACUUGGUGAGAGCUGGAUCCUCUGCAGUGUAACCUCUCAUGACUGGCUGACCAACCAACCAACCAACCAAAACCAGCAAAAAAGUUAACUAAUUCACCAUGGGGAUGGGAGGAAGGAUGCUUCCUGUUGUGGAAUAGGACAAAAUCCUGUGACAUGUUCCCUCCUAUUAGGUCUGAUACCACUGCUUAUGAUAAAGAUUAAUUUCUAAAAAUCAGCUGUAAAGCUAUAGGUCAGCCAGUAAGACAGUGACUUGACUAAUUUUUCAUUGCAAAGUGUAUGAUACUUUCAUGCCUUUAAUUGACGUCAGUGCAGACAGUGUGUUGUUGAAUCCAAUGAAAUUUGAAUCCCACUAUGAAUUUGUUUUCUACAAAUAGAUUAUGAACAGAAGCCUUUGAUUUCUCUUAAUUAUGUAUUUUUGAGUGAAAAGCUAUUUUGUGUCUAUAUAUAUAUUUAAUAACAGGAAA
Long non-coding RNA from Hirundo rustica (Barn swallow), 1504 nucleotides. RefSeq lists it as uncharacterized. The transcript has 5 exons. NCBI's taxonomy places the organism in Eukaryota, Metazoa, Chordata, Aves, Passeriformes, Hirundinidae. The record is from RefSeq and is a predicted model, not a curated record.